RNAcentral lists this ribosomal RNA (606 nucleotides) under uncultured bacterium. Its description in RNAcentral is "bacterial SSU rRNA". It matches the Rfam family "Bacterial small subunit ribosomal RNA", at positions 33 to 642 of the family's 1533-position model. The record is from RNAcentral.
ACGCUGGCGGCGUGCUUACACAUGCAAGUCGAGUGCGCGUGCCGUAGCAAUACGGUAUGGCGCACGGCGCACGGGUGCGUAACACGUGGGCAAUCUGCCCUCCGGUGGGGAAUAACCUCGCGAAAGCGGGGCUAAUUCCGCAUAACAUUCCCUGGACUUCGGUUCGGGGAUUCAAAGCAGCAAUGCGCCGGAGGAGGAGCCCGCGCCCGAUUAGCUAGUUGGUGAGGUAACGGCUCACCAAGGCAACGAUCGGUAGCUGGUCUGAGAGGAUGGCCAGCCACACUGGAACUGAGACACGGUCCAGACUCCUACGGGAGGCAGCAGUGGGGAAUCUUGCGCAAUGGGCGAAAGCCUGACGCAGCGACGCCGCGUGGGGGAUGAAGCUUCUCGGAGUGUAAACCCCUUUCGACCGGGACGAAUGCCCGCAAGGGAGUGACGGUACCGGUAGAAGAAGCCCCGGCUAACUACGUGCCAGCAGCCGCGGUAAGACGUAGGGGGCCAGCGUUGUUCGGAAUUACUGGGUGUAAAGGGUUCGUANGCGGUGUGGCAAGUCGGGAGUGAAAUUUCUGGGCUUAACUCAAAAGCUGCUUCCGAAACUGCUGUGCU